This 200-nucleotide unclassified non-coding RNA is filed under the name Capnodiales sp. Its description in RNAcentral is "partial internal transcribed spacer 2". The record is from RNAcentral. Lineage: Eukaryota; Fungi; Ascomycota; Dothideomycetes; Capnodiales.
UUAAGUUCAGCGGGUAUCCCUACCUGAUCCGAGGUCAACCUAAUAGAAGUUUUAACGGCAGCGAACUCCCCUUUUCAUAAGCGAAUUGAAUGCCACAACGCUGAGAAUCGGGUCGUCCAGCCGGUGAGAUCGAGGCGUAAGGGAGCCUUAUCGCCCAAUACCAAGCCAGGCUUGAGUGGUGUAAUGACGCUCGAACAGGC